CCCGCCCCGCCCCGUCACCGCCUCUUCCCUCUGCCCUGGAAGCAGAUCGGCGGCCGAAGAGGGAGGUCCCGUGCCGGCGCGGCCCCGCGCAGAGUGUGGGGUCGGGGCCCGGGACUGCGCCGCACGCAGGCAGGCGUAGGAGCCACAGACCCCGCGGUUGGAAGGUCGGCGUCGCGAGGCCCUUUCUUUCCCGCUCUCCGCGUCCUCCACCUCCCCCGGGCCUAACGCUGGGACGAGAGUUCUGUGGGGUUUUGUCUUGCUGAGAUCAGCCUGAUCUGAAGCAUGUUAGCUAAGAUAAAGGUAUGUGAAAGUGCCUGGCUCACGAGAGAUGUUCAGUAAAUCGUGGGUUCCAUUCCCUCCUGGCACCCCAGAAAGACCUUCUUGCCUAACGCGGCAGAAAUAACCUUCCCACUCUUUCCAAAUAGUCAAUGGAGUCAUGAGAAGACUCAGGGGAAAAAUGGCUUUGAACACAAAAAAUAUGGUGCAACCCUCCUAAUUUUAUAUCUGAGGAAACUGAAGUCGAGAAAGAUGAAGUGCCUUGAUUUGUCCAAGGUCCCAGUACUAGUUAGUGACAGAUGCAAAUACUGAAAGAGAAGAAAAGGAGUAAGGAAACUCAAUACUUACAUAGCAUCAGCAACAUGUGGACAUCUUGCCUGAGGCUUUAUAAACACUUAUUUCUUUUAAUUCUUGAUACCUAGCCUUUUUUACAACCUGUGCUGUCUCUCUGUCUUGCACUCAUAAACAUGAGUACACUUAUUAGUCAAUAAUCAAAAAAGCCUCAUGCUCUGAACUGGAUUAAUGCCAUUUGUUGCAGUAAGUGGCAAAUGUCCUUGGAAAACAAAUGGCAGCAAAGUGCUGAUGUUGACCAGAUGAGAAAGGAAAUGUAAAAGGGAAGUUCCAAAGAAUUGCAGCCCUGAAAAGGUGGGUAAAUAGCAACAAGACAAAAUAAUCCUCAUUUAUUAAGACAGUUCUGACUCUCUUGCUUCCCAGGAAAGUUUGAAUGGGACAUAACUGCAAAUCAGUGAAUGUGUAUAUUCACAUUUUCGGGGCUACAGUGUGUGGGUAAGAUGGAUGAAAAUUGGGACAGGGGUUAUAUCAUAUUGUCUGUUCUGAUUGCUGUUUUGCAGUUGGGGUACUAUGAGCAUCCAAAUACUGAACCAUAGGUGUAUGGCAUAUCCACUUAGGCAUAUUAAAUUGUAGAAUUAAUUGUAGAAUUAAAUAUUUAUAUCAGUGAUACGCUUUGAAGGGUUUAAGAGGAGAGGCAGAAUAGCUGUCUGCAAGCUUUGUGUGCUGGCGGGUCAUCCGGCAGUGUUAACUGAAAAGAGCGUCUGGAGGUGAGGGAAGACAAGACUGGGGGUCAGGGUAGCCACAGACUCUUGCCAAAGGAUGGACAGCCAUUGGUCGGCAGGGGCUUUUCUGUCCCCCACCUUCCCCAUCCCCUCUUAGACAUUCCUGACAUGUGACUUUUACUCCACAGGGCCAGGACUAGUACUAAAGCCUCAUCAGUGACUUUGCUGAGUGCCAUGCCCCCCUGCCAGCCUUCGUGCACCACCACCACCAGACACACACGCACACACUUCAAACUCCUCCAGGCAAGGACACCUGCUCCUUGAAACAUAGUGACACUUUAGGAGAGGUUGCAGAAGCAAAGCGAUGCCAAGAUGAAAAUGAAAUGUAUUAUUUAUUAAACACUUGCUAGAAGCCAUGCUCUGUACUAAGUAUUUUUUACAUUUAAGCCUAUGCUGUUUCCCACAUUUUACAAAUAAAGACACUUUAAUUCUGAUAAUUAAACCUAAGAUCAGCCUACUGAGAAAAGGCCUAAGUGGAGAUAUUAACUUUGGUUCUGACUGCUAAGUCCGUAAGGUCCCCUCCCAGCUGUAUCAUCCAAACACCUCCAGAUUUCACUGAACAAGAAGGGAACAAAGAAGCAGAUUAGAAUAAUGAGAGAAGAAAUCUGCAAAAGUUUUGAGUGGGAAAGAGUCUAGUGUUUCUUCUCUCCUUUUUUCUAUCUCUUUUUGAAGGAAGCUGGCAGUACUGGUUAGGCCUAGUUCUAGACUUGAAGAAGAGAGGGGAUCCUUAUUUCUUUGGGCCCCACCCUUCUGACCAGAGUAAGUAGACAGGCAAGAAGGUUGAAGAGAAGCAUAUGCAGAAAUGUGCAUUUAGCCACAGUGUCUUUGACAUUGCAUCACUUGGGAAUCUAAAUUCAAGGACACUUCGUAAAUAGAGUAAAUCUAGCCCAGGAUUGGGGCCAGAGGGAGAGAGAGAAGGUGAGCACUGCAACCCAAGGCCCGCAUUCUCAAAUCCUUCAGCCUUUUGAGAGAACAUCAACCUGGAUAUACCCAUAACCUACUCUGCUCUUUAAGUAGAAAGAAUCAUUUGGGUACUUUUUUCCUUCGCCUUUCUCUGUAAUUAAGAUUUUGGUCAUUGUGGAACGCCUGGGUGGCUCAGUCAGUUAAGCGUCUGCCUUCAGCUCAGGUCAUGAUCCCAGGGUCCUGGAAUCAAGCCCCACAUCGGUUUCCCUGCUGAGCAGGGAGCCUGCUUCUCCCUCUGCCACUCCACCUGCUUGUGCUCUCUCUCUCUCUCUCUGGCAUAUAAAUAAAUAAGUAAAUCUAUAAAAAAUUUUUUGUUCUUGGGGCACCUGGAUGGCUCAGUCGUUAAGCGUCUGCCUUCAGCUCAGGUCAUGAUCCCAGGGUCCUGGGAUCGAGCCCCGCAUCGGGCUCCCUGCCCGGCGGGAAGCCUGCUUCUCCCUCUCCCACUCCCCCUGCUUGUGUUCCCUCUCUAGCUGUCUCUCUCUCUCUGUCAAAUAAAUAAAUAAAAUCUUAAAAAAAAAAAAAAAAUUUUUUGUUCAUUGUGAAGAGGUGAAUAUGGAAACUCAGGUGAACGACCUAAGUCAUUGCUCUUCAAAAUUUUUUUAGCAGCAGUAGCUUUUUUUUAACAACAUUUUCAAUGGACCCACAAUAUUUAAAACAUAUGAUCGAUAUUAGCAUUAACCUUUAAGAUCUACUUAUGAAAAACAAACUAUUGAGAAUAAGCUACCUUAAUUGAAUCAGGUAGAUCAUAAUUAUAGUCUUACUUCAGUCACAUUUAUAUCCAUGAAAUAUGAAUCACUCCCUAGAAUACAGAAAACACUGAGCCCAGUUAAUGCAGGGCCUGGACUUUUGGUCCAAAGAAGGAAAAUGGAUAGAGUCUGGGGGAAAAAAACCUUCCCAGAGUAUAGCUGCCCUUUUCUUAUCACCUGGUAACCGGUUUCCUGUGUUAGUCAACAUUUGUAAGGCAGUAAUGGAAAAACCAAGACGCUUUGUUGUACCACCAACACUCUUCCUGUCACCAUUUUAUUUUCCAAUGACCUCCCCUCCAGAUAAGGCCUCCAUCUAGUACUUGAAGCUAGGCAGUCCAAAAUGUGACCAGCUAUUGGGGAAGUAUUUACUUUGAUAGCCACUUGACCUUGACCAAUGUAAUUGAUUCAUUUAUUGAUAAAACAUUUCUUAAAAGUGUACCGAGCCAGGCACCUUAGGGAUACAAAAAUGGGUAAGAUUUAGUUCUCACCCUUGAGAAGCUCAUCAUCCGGUAAGGUAAACAGUCAAAAGAUCCGGUGUAGAGUAUGUCCAGCAAUGUGAAUGAUUGUAGUCACUUACUGGUAAAAUCUGAAGACUAUCAAGACUACUACCUAUAAUUAAAAACCUUUCUUGCCUGUGGAUACAUCUAAAAUUCCACUAUGGGAAAUUUACUCCUAUGAAGUAAAGAAUUAUAUCCAGAGAUUGUCAGAAUGAAAAUUCCCCCAAGCAAUUAAAGAUGAUGGCUAGUAGAUUUAAACACUGAUGCCAAGUCCCUUGGACUAGAGUAACUGCCAGAAACAAUGUGUUGAGAAGGAUUCUGAGGUCAUAUUCCAGCCCAACAGGGAAAUUGAAUGCUGCCAUAAGGAAAGGAGGAAGUGGAGAAGAUAGCACUGGUGCCAUGUAUUUCCUAUCCAUGAGUAAAACUUUUGUUUCUGGAAUACUGAAGCCAGGGAUAGCCAUAGUCUCUGGGUUUCUGGGCGAAGGUCCACUUAGAAGCUGAUUUAUCUACCAUGCGACUGAGAAUUCACCACCUGUCCCCAGGCUAACCAGCCUUAAGAAGUCUAAUCUCUCUCUUGCCCUUGCCAAACUUACCUGCUUUAUCCCUCCAUGCUCACCAACAAUAGAAAUGGUAAAGGUAUGUGCAGUCUCUGAGAACUAGGAUGUGCUUUUGAUAAGGCAAAUCCCAGCAUCUCACAGGGUCAGACUGGAAGAGGCUGUUACUUCUCUACCCAGUGUCAGUCCUCCCAUCUUCCUUUUAAUGGAGCCCUCCAUUUUGUGGGGACCAGCAGUACGCCUGCCUCGGAGGUGACAGCUGGCCAUGUGACUUAAGUUUAGCCAAUGAUAUGUGAGUGGAGUCUUACAGGAAAGCUCUCUGAAGGUGUUUCCUCUUCUCUGCUUCUUGGAAUGUGGACAUGAUGGCUGGAAUUCUAAUGUGCACUUUGGAAUACCAGCUGACCUUGAAGAUGAAAGCCAUCUACAGCCAUGUCCUUGUAUGCUUGUUUUACAUGAAAGAAAUAAACUACGUUGUAUAAGCCACUGUUAUUUUGAGUUCCCAAGUAAUAUGCAGCCAAAUCUGAUCCUGAUUUGGCCAGGAUUUUAUAUUAUCCUUUGAUAGAGUCUUAUGUCUCUGUCAACAGUUUUCACUGAUUCGCCCUGAGAUAAUGGGGACUCUGACCUAGAACUGUGCAGUCAUCUUAUAUACUUGGCUCCCCAGGUAUUUUGCUAUUCCAGCAAAAUCCAGGCUGGAAUAGGAAAAUGCAGUAGGCAGGUUCUGGAGUCAAGAUUGGAUUUUGUGGCAAAAAGAAGUGGUUUCUCCAAAAGACAGAUUAGUCCCCAUGGAAAUUAAAAGAAGUAAAUGCCUGGGGCGCCUGGGUGGCUCAGCCAUUUAGCGUCUGCCUUCUGCUCAGGUCAUGAUCCCAGGGUCCUGGGAUUGAGCCCUGCAUCGGGCUCCCUGCUUGGCAGGAAGCCUGCUACUCCCUCUCCCACUCCCCCUGCUUGUGUGCCCUCUCUCGCUGUCUCUUUCUCUCUGUCAAAUAAAUAAAAUCUUAAAAAAAAAAAAAAGAAAAAAGUAAAUGCCUGAUGCAUUAUUUUAAUAUAGCACUCCUUCAGUAUUCCCAGAACUAGAACCAAAGCUUCCUAUGAGCAGGAAACUAUGAACACACCGUGGUAUUUAUGCUGAAUAUCCACCUGACCUAGGACAUUGAUUCUUUCCUGUCAAAAAGGUGUUUUGUUUUGUUUUGUUUUGUUUUCUGGACCUCUCUUCAUGACUCCUCCAUUGACUAUUUGGAAAAAGGGUAGAAAGUUGGUUUCUGUCACCUUGCAUUCUUCUGAACACAGGCAAAAAGUCUUUCUAGUCUAAAAUAGUUGGCAUUGGGGGCAUUGGUGGGGGAUUUAUUGAAUGUCUCCCGUGAGCCAGGUACUUUCACAUACCUUUAUGUUAGUUAACUGACUUCAGUUCAGACCCUAUUCCCAACAUGACAAAACCCAGCAGCAUUUUAAAAGUAAAAUAAGGAUAGUUGAUGAAUUGUGUUAAUUUAUUGCCUCUACCUUGCAUUUUUAACCUCCAAGGUACUCCAAACACUCUGCAGCUAUAAUUCAACAUUCAAAUGGCUCUGGGGUCCCCAGGAGCAGCCACGUAGAUCCUACUGAAGCAGACAAUCCUGUCACUCCCCUGCUUAAGAUUUGUCAAUAGCCUCUCACUGCCUAUAGAAUAAAAAUUCCACUCUGCCUGGCAUUCAAGCCCACCUUUUCUCCAGCUGGUCAAAACUGCUCAGAAUGCACUAUCCGGCCUGCCAUGCCAUUCCCGUCCCGCUUUACUUGUGUGACCCCAUCACCUAAACACCCUUCUUCCUCCACUGCCCAGCUCCACGUUUUUAAUCCUCAGCCUUCAAGGCCCAGCACAAGCACUGUUUUUUCUUAGUCCCUCUGCUGGAAAUCAUAAACUCACAUAGAUUUUAUCUAAAACCACUCAUCUCUUCCUACUUGUUUUUAUGAAUUAAUUUGUUUUAUCUUGCCUACUAAACUCUAACUCUGAAAGGGCACCCGUGUUUGCUUCCCUGAUUGUUCUUUGUGGCCCUUUGCCACAGUGCCUGGCAUAUAGGAUGAGCUCAAAGACUAUUUGUUACCUGAGUAAGAGUUGUGGCAAGUACCUAAACAUGCUCCCUCCCUUUUUAA
This is a long non-coding RNA of Mirounga angustirostris (Northern elephant seal), 6230 nucleotides long. RefSeq lists it as uncharacterized. Lineage: Eukaryota; Metazoa; Chordata; Mammalia; Carnivora; Phocidae. The record is from RefSeq and is a predicted model, not a curated record. The transcript is spliced from 2 exons.